UUAAGUAACGUAACGGAAUACGUUACAGAUUACAUUUUUGGGCAUGUAUUCUGUAUUCUGUAACGGAAUACGUUUUGAAAGUAACCCUCCCAACACUGCGUGUAUCAACUGUCAGA
This is a long non-coding RNA of Alosa sapidissima (American shad), 116 nucleotides long. RefSeq lists it as uncharacterized. The transcript has 3 exons. Lineage: Eukaryota; Metazoa; Chordata; Actinopteri; Clupeiformes; Clupeidae. The record is from RefSeq and is a predicted model, not a curated record.